This 1675-nucleotide unclassified non-coding RNA is filed under the name Neodiprion pinetum (white pine sawfly). RNAcentral describes it as "uncharacterized LOC124214463, transcript variant X3". Lineage: Eukaryota; Metazoa; Arthropoda; Insecta; Hymenoptera; Diprionidae. The record is from RNAcentral.
CACAUCAGCGGUGGGGGGGACCGCCAUCUUGGUAGGCAAACUUCGUUGCCUACGUUGCCUAGCUUCGUUCAUUGCUGCCCGCGUUUUGAAAAAAAAGUUUAUGCAAGGAAUAAGAAACAAACUAUCAGUGGUACGUGAGGGUGAGGACUCAAAAUGCCCUGUUGUGCAGUCUCAGCGUGCUUGAAUCGUACUUACAAGAAAAGUAAAUCCCAAAUUGAAACCGAAAAAACAUCGAAAAUUACUUUCCACAGGUUUCCGAAGGCUGAGAAUCAGAGACUAAAAUGGGUUGAAUGUACACAAUUGCCAUUAACAUCAUUACCUGCAAUUGCAUACCUCUGCUCUGUACAUUUUGCAGAGGACAGUAUUGACCGUACUUCCCUUAGCUGUACAAGGCUGAAAAGAGACGCUAUUCCAGCAAUAAACAUUACAAAUACCGGAAAACCGGAAAACUUGAGUGAACAUGAACAUGAGCAUGUAUCACAAGUCCAACAAGACGUGUAUCCAUCAACGUCAAAAACAAUAGAUAAAGAAAUACCUGAGGAAAUAUUUGACGAUUUCACAUGCGGAAAAACUGAUGCCAAUACCAGAUCAGACUUACUAAAGACACUGUUUGAGAAUACACCAAAACGCAUUCAUAAAUGUGAUGUAACAACCGAAUGUAAGCCACAAAAGCGUCAAUGUAUUCAGUCAGCAUUGUGUGAACAAACUGUUCAGGGAACACAAGUUAAAUCAGAGAGUUCAUCAGAAAUGACAGAUGAUACGUAUUUGUCAAAGUCACCAUUUCUGAUAAACCAACAAAAUAACGAGGCCUUAAGUGAUUCCCGAGGCCAACUACAGUAUACUCCUAGAAAAAUACUUCUGUGUAAAACGUUAAAAGCUCAACAAGAUAUAUCACGACGGCAGAUACAAACACUCAAAAAACGAAAUAAGCGGCAAGAAAAAAAAAUAGCUAUCCUUAACUCGAUUUUAAAUGAAUUAAAAGCAAAACAGAUGCUUGACGAGGAGCAGCUUGAUUUACUAAGGACUAUUGAUCAAUGCCUUUCUCUAAAUCAAGGAGAUCCACGUUCAAUAUUCAAUGGCUUAACGAAGAUCAUUUUUCGCCAUGGCUGAAAGAAUGCAAAAAUGAUAAGUUUGCAUUUUAUUGCAUCAUGUGUAAGAAAACCGUGCUGCUGAGCAACGUGGGCCGACAGGCUUUAACUAGUCACAUGAAAGGACGUAAACACGAACACGCUGCGAGGAGUCAAAAUAAUACUUUUGGAAUCGGAGUAUUUCUAUCACCGAAAACAGUAGACGUCCCAAAAUCUACUACACUUAGACUUGAUGGAAGUUUGAUUGCAAAUGUUGAAAAAAUAGCCGAAGUACAAGAAACUGAGAAGACAGGAACGAUUUCACAACCAAGCACGUCAACACAACUAGAAUCAACGUCCCUCUUGCACAUACUACCAAAGCAGCGAGGAAUGAAUCGUUUCAUUGAAAAAGAGAAAGUUAUGCGAGCAGAGAUAAUCUGGUGUCUUCAGACUGUAUUCUGCCACCUAUCCCUUGCUGCUGCAGGGAAAUGCACAGAAAUUUUCAAACUAAUGUUUGAUGAAAAUGGGACAGCUAAAGCAAUGACACUGGGCCCCAACAAAAUGGGUUAUACAAUUUUGCAAGGCCUUGCCCCGUUCUUUAAAAAUGA